RNAcentral lists this ribosomal RNA (245 nucleotides) under uncultured bacterium. Its description in RNAcentral is "partial 16S ribosomal RNA". It matches the Rfam family "Bacterial small subunit ribosomal RNA", at positions 528 to 772 of the family's 1533-position model. The record is from RNAcentral.
UAGGUGGCAAGCGUUGUCCGGAUUUACUGGGUGUAAAGGGCGUGCAGCCGGAGAGGCAAGUCAGAUGUGAAAUCCGCAGGCUCAACCUGCGAACUGCAUUUGAAACUGCUUCCCUUGAGUAUCGGGGAGGUCAUCGGAAUUCCUAGUGUAGCGGUGAAAUGCGUAGAUAUUAGGAAGAACACCAGUGGCGAAGGCGGAUGACUGGACGACAACUGACGGUGAGGCGCGAAAGCGUGGGGAGCAAA